Molecule: ribosomal RNA, 554 nt
Filed under: Rhodosporidiobolus ruineniae
Lineage: Eukaryota; Fungi; Basidiomycota; Microbotryomycetes; Sporidiobolales; Sporidiobolaceae
Description: eukaryotic LSU rRNA
Rfam family: Eukaryotic large subunit ribosomal RNA
Source: RNAcentral
GGCGAGCGAAGCGGGAAGAGCUCAAAUUUAUAAUCUGGCGCUUUCGGCGUCCGAGUUGUAAUCUCUAGAAGUGUUUUCCGCGUUGGACCGCACAUAAGUCUGUUGGAAUACAGCGGCACAGUGGUGAGACCCCCGUUCACGGUGCGGAUGCCCAAUGCUUUGUGAUACACUUUCGAAGAGUCGAGUUGUUUGGGAAUGCAGCUCAAAUUGGGUGGUAAAUUCCAUCUAAAGCUAAAUAUUGGCGAGAGACCGAUAGCGAACAAGUACCGUGAGGGAAAGAUGAAAAGCACUUUGGAAAGAGAGUUAACAGUACGUGAAAUUGUUGGAAGGGAAACGCUUGAAGUCAGACUUGCUAUUCGGGGCUUGCUCCGAGUUGCAGGCCAGCAUCAGUUUUUCGGGGCGGAAAAUCACGGAUUGAAGGUAGCAGUUUCGGCUGUGUUAUAGCUUUCCGUUGGAUACGUCCUGGGGGACUGAGGAACGCAGUGUGCUUUUAGCGAGGGCUUCGGCUCUUUCACACUUAGGAUGCUGGUGGAAUGGCUUUAAACGACCCGUCU